RNAcentral lists this ribosomal RNA (635 nucleotides) under Anoxybacillus ayderensis. RNAcentral describes it as "bacterial SSU rRNA". It matches the Rfam family "Bacterial small subunit ribosomal RNA", at positions 124 to 745 of the family's 1533-position model. The record is from RNAcentral. Lineage: Bacteria; Bacillati; Bacillota; Bacilli; Caryophanales; Anoxybacillaceae.
ACCUGCCCUGUAGACGGGGAUAACACCGAGAAAUCGGUGCUAAUACCGGAUAAUACGAAAGGCCGCAUGGUCUUUCGUUGAAAGGCGGCGCAAGCUGUCGCUACAGGAUGGGCCCGCGGCGCAUUAGCUAGUUGGUGAGGUAACGGCUCACCAAGGCGACGAUGCGUAGCCGACCUGAGAGGGUGAUCGGCCACACUGGGACUGAGACACGGCCCAGACUCCUACGGGAGGCAGCAGUAGGGAAUCUUCCGCAAUGGACGAAAGUCUGACGGAGCAACGCCGCGUGAGCGAAGAAGGCCUUCGGGUCGUAAAGCUCUGUUGUUAGGGAAGAACAAGUACCGCAGUCACUGGCGGUACCUUGACGGUACCUAACGAGGAAGCCACGGCUAACUACGUGCCAGCAGCCGCGGUAAUACGUAGGUGGCAAGCGUUGUCCGGAAUUAUUGGGCGUAAAGCGCGCGCAGGCGGUUCCUUAAGUCUGAUGUGAAAGCCCACGGCUCAACCGUGGAGGGUCAUUGGAAACUGGGGGACUUGAGUGCAGAAGAGGAGAGCGGAAUUCCACGUGUAGCGGUGAAAUGCGUAGAGAUGUGGAGGAACACCAGUGGCGAAGGCGGCUCUCUGGUCUGUAACUGACG